AUUGCACUAAUCUUCACACCCGCCCUCUCCCUCACCCCCCCCCCCCCCCUUCCUUUUAAUUUUCGGUAACUGUAUUUCGUAUAUAUGUCUAUUCUCUGGCACAAAAAUUAAAUUUUGCAGUUAACUUUCAGAACUUACAUGUUGCUUCAUUUGCGGGUUUUAAUUUAGAAAAUUUGAGUCCUUUUGCAGGUUUCUGUCUAGAUGUAUUAAAAUGUUAGUAACCAUGUUUCUGCCCAUACUUAUAUAUUGUCAAUACUUGGGCUAAAUGAAUCAUAUUAUUCUGGUUAUGCUCUUUUUUCGCCUCUUACACUUGAACUUCUUCUAUGUGGAAGGGUGAGUUCUUCUUCAGCACUUGCGUCAGCGCAUAUGAAAAACAACAAUUGAUCUUCCCCGUUUAUUAAAAUGAGCGAACUUAUAUUCUUCUUGAGUCUGCACCAUUGAUUCCACUAUUAUUCAUGAGGAACUAAGUAUUACUGUGUUGUAGUUGUUUCUAUAUACUUUGAAUAUGCUCGCUCUAUAAGCAGUGCUGGUUGCAUUCUGCAAAUUUUUCGCCGCUUACUUGAUUUUACUUUUGUAUGAUAACGAGAUGAUGAGUUUGUUGUUAAGUAACGUGGCAUGAUGGUAAGUAACAUUGUUUUCCAUUUUAUGAUCCAAAAAACAUUGCUUGUGCGAAGAACAAAAGCUAUUCUGUGAGGUUACAAGCCAUUUACAAAGUAUGCUUUCGACAAUCCCAUUUUAAGCAUUCUAUCACAGUAAUUAAGUUAUUUGGCAUUACAUACGCUUUGACGUUUUAGGGCAGACUAUAGAACUGAUAAUAGCUACAUGUUCGGACAAGAUGACUAACGUAUUCAUGCUACCAGCCACUGAAGUGAGGCUUCUCUUAUGGAUUUAUUGCAGCAAUUCAGAGAACAAGAUAAUUACAGCCUAUGCAAAGCUCUAUGUUCACUUGCUAUGCAAAGCUCUCUCUGUUCACUUGCGCUAAACACAUCAUGUGUAGAUUCAACAUCCAAGAUUCACAAUUGCUAUGUCAUCCCACAGGAAGUAAAGGUUUAUGGUCAUCUUGCAUCUGCAAUCUCCACUGAUCCAACUUCUUGAGUAUCUCUUUCCGAGCUUUCCCCAUCAGCAUAUUCCGGUUUUCGAGCGACAUCAGCUCCCUGGUACUAUUAAACUUGCUAGAAGAGAAACCGUAAGUCCUUUCUACAUAUUGAGGUGCAUUGGAUCCAAAACGAAUUCCCUCUUCAUCCAGCCUUCUCUGUUUAAGAAGUGCCUCUCUAUGGCUCCCCCCCAUGAAUUAUCACGUUCUCUCUUCAUUCUCUCAUGUGCCUACUGGACAACAUUUGCUGCAAUUGAAGGAUCCAAGCUACCAACACCAACCUGCCGAAAGUUCGAGUAAUUUGCAGUAUUAGAAUUUGCGGCUGCUGUCUUACCAGCACUAGCAUUUCUUCCCAUACGGAUCUAAACUGUAUUUUCUAACUUAAUAUAUUGAACAGAUUACGGCACAUACCCGUUGCAUACAUAACCACGUAAAACCACAUAUACACCAGCAUCUCACUUGAACUCAGCAUGCUUUCAGUCAAAGAAUUAGUAAGAUUCAGACAGUCUUAAAGGCUGUGUUUGUACUUUUUCUCUGUCCACACAGGACUGAAAUUCAUUUCAAGUUAUUAUAGUAUAUGAUCUUUCCUUUUGUCCAAACUGAUAAAAAUUCUUUUUAACAUUAUAACAUACACCAAAAGUAUAGACAAACAUUGUAUAUCACACAACCAACAACUAUUCAGUAUUUUCAGUAUAAUGAUCUGUUACUCUCUGGUUUUAAAAUCCUCAUGGCAGCAAGUCCAUUUAUGAAUUAUUAGUGAGGAUAAACUUAGUAGGCGUUUGACCAUGACAACCAAAAAUAUUUCACUUUAUUUGGAAUUCUGAAGUUGGAGUUGAAACCGGAGAU
Long non-coding RNA from Lycium barbarum (goji berry), 1939 nucleotides. RefSeq lists it as uncharacterized. The record is from RefSeq and is a predicted model, not a curated record. The transcript has 3 exons. Lineage: Eukaryota; Viridiplantae; Streptophyta; Magnoliopsida; Solanales; Solanaceae.